This 373-nucleotide ribosomal RNA is filed under the name uncultured organism. RNAcentral's name for it is "bacterial SSU rRNA". It matches the Rfam family "Bacterial small subunit ribosomal RNA", at positions 526 to 896 of the family's 1533-position model. The record is from RNAcentral.
CGUAGGGUGCAAGCGUUAUCCGGAAUUAUUGGGCGUAAAGAGCUCGUAGGCGGUUUGUCGCGUCUGCUGUGAAAACUGGAGGCUCAACCUCCAGCCUGCAGUGGGUACGGGCAAACUAGAGUGCGGUAGGGGAGAUUGGAAUUCCUGGUGUAGCGGUGGAAUGCGCAGAUAUCAGGAGGAACACCGAUGGCGAAGGCAGAUCUCUGGGCCGUAACUGACGCUGAGGAGCGAAAGCAUGGGGAGCGAACAGGAUUAGAUACCCUGGUAGUCCAUGCCGUAAACGUUGGGCGCUAGAUGUGGGGACCAUUCCACGGUUUCCGUGUCGCAGCUAACGCACUAAGCACCCCGCCUGGGGAGUACGGCCGCAAGGCUA